RNAcentral lists this long non-coding RNA (714 nucleotides) under Homo sapiens (human). RNAcentral's name for it is "HSALNT0133587". The record is from RNAcentral. Lineage: Eukaryota; Metazoa; Chordata; Mammalia; Primates; Hominidae.
AGAUAAAAUAUAUUGCACAUUAAGUAGGUGAAUAGGCCAUAGACAUCAGAAGAGAAAAGAAAAGAAAGAACCUUAGUCAUUUUAUAAAGCCUUCACAUGGUUGGGACCAACCAUAUACUCCUGCUUUGGAUGGUGGCUGAGGCACAAAGCUGAGAACCAAAGGCACAAAGUACCCCACAUUCUAAACACAAAAAGAGGAACUGGACUUCAUUCUCCUGCAAAAGCUGCUUGAUCUUGACCUGUUGCUGUUUGACCCGGGUCUCAAGCAGGCGCACCUGGGCUCUGAGCCGCAUCUGCUCCUGGGCACAGUCCUCGAGCGCCUGCAAAACAGUUCCCAUUUCAGAAUAUUAUUCCAAAGAGAAAGUGGCUUGAAAAGUUCUAAUACUGCCUACUAUUUGAAGAAUUGGAAAUUAUGGCUUAUGCGAAAACUCCUGGACUCAAAAGAUCAAAUAAUAUAAAAUAAUUGGAAUCGCUAUGCUAGGAGCUUUAUAGUUGUCUCCUUUGAUCCUCAUAACAAUUCCAUGCGGUAGGAAAGGGCUCAGUCUUGAUGCCCAGUGGGUAAGCGGAGGUGGGAUUCAAAUUCAGUUCAAGGACUGUGCUCUCAAUCUCUAUAUGACAUUGCUUAUGUGUUUUCUAAACAGUAAUGUGGUUUAUAGAAGUUAAUUGUACUGUUGGCAUGUAAAUCUCCAUAAUAAAUGAGGUUUUUGAAUGGCU